UACGUAGGGUGCGAGCGUUGUCCGGAAUUAUUGGGCGUAAAGGGCUCGUAGGCGGUUUGUUGCGUCAGGAGUGAAAACUCGGGGCUUAACCCCGAGCCUGCUUCUGAUACGGGCAGACUUGAGGUAUGCAGGGGGAGAACGGAAUUCCUGGUGUAGCGGUGAAAAUGCGCAGAUAUCAGGAGGAACACCAAUUGCGAAGGCAGCUCGCUGGGACGUAACUGACGCUGAGACGCGAAAAGCGUGGGGGAGCAAACAGG
Molecule: ribosomal RNA, 257 nt
Filed under: uncultured bacterium
Lineage: Bacteria
Description: partial 16S ribosomal RNA
Rfam family: Bacterial small subunit ribosomal RNA
Source: RNAcentral